GAUGAACGCUGGCGGCGUGCCUAAUACAUGCAAGUCGAGCGAACAGAUGAGGAGCUUGCUCCUCUGACGUUAGCGGCGGACGGGUGAGUAACACGUGGAUAACCUACCUAUAAGACUGGGAUAACUUCGGGAAACCGGAGCUAAUACCGGAUCAUAUAUUGAACCGCAUGGUUCAUUAGUGAAAGACGGUUUUGCUGUCACUUAUAGAUGGAUCCGCGCCGCAUUAGCUAGUUGGUAAGGUAACGGCUUACCAAGGCAACGAUGCGUAGCCGACCUGAGAGGGUGAUCGGCCACACUGGAACUGAGACACGGUCCAGACUCCUACGGGAGGCAGCAGUAGGGAAUCUUCCGCAAUGGGCGAAAGCCUGACGGAGCAACGCCGCGUGAGUGAUGAAGGUCUUCGGAUCGUAAAACUCUGUUAGUAGGGAAGAACAAAUGUGUAAGUAACUAUGCACGUCUUGACGGUACCUAAUCAGAAAGCCACGGCUAACUACGUG
Molecule: ribosomal RNA, 497 nt
Filed under: uncultured bacterium
Lineage: Bacteria
Description: partial 16S ribosomal RNA
Rfam family: Bacterial small subunit ribosomal RNA
Source: RNAcentral